GACGAACGCUGGCGGCGUGCUUAACACAUGCAAGCCGAACGAUGAAGCACCAGCUUGCUGGUGUGGAUUAGUGGCGAACGGGUGAGUAACACGUGAGUAACCUGCCCCUCACUCUGGGAUAAGCCUGGGAAACUGGGUCUAAUACUGGAUACGACCGAUCUCCGCAUGGAGUGUUGGUGGAAAGUUUUUGUGGUGGGGGAUGGACUCGCGGCCUAUCAGCUUGUUGGUGGGGUAGUGGCCUACCAAGGCGACGACGGGUAGCCGGCCUGAGAGGGCGACCGGCCACACUGGGACUGAGACACGGCCCAGACUCCUACGGGAGGCAGCAGUGGGGAAUAUUGCACAAUGGGCGAAAGCCUGAUGCAGCGACGCCGCGUGAGGGAUGACGGCCUUCGGGUUGUAAACCUCUUUCGCCAGGGACGAAGCUAACGUGACGGUACCUGGAGAAGAAGCACCGGCUAACUACGUG
Molecule: ribosomal RNA, 469 nt
Filed under: uncultured bacterium
Lineage: Bacteria
Description: partial 16S ribosomal RNA
Rfam family: Bacterial small subunit ribosomal RNA
Source: RNAcentral